GAGACUUAGUUUCAGGUAUCAUUCCUAUAGUUGAUUACAAGAGAAGUUUCUCGACUAUAGAGAGUACCAAAGCCAUGAGGAGGAGAUGCAAUGUUCUCUCCAGAGCAUGUAGCUGUUCCUGAGCGUGUUAGGUUAAGACUACCCACUGCCACUGAUUGUUCUUCUCUCUCUUAGGGUACUUAGAAGGACAGAACACAAUCUGUGU
Molecule: small nucleolar RNA, 205 nt
Organism: Jaculus jaculus (lesser Egyptian jerboa)
Lineage: Eukaryota; Metazoa; Chordata; Mammalia; Rodentia; Dipodidae
Product: small nucleolar RNA U3
Exons: 1
Source: RefSeq, a predicted model, not a curated record